GUUCUGCUACGGCGUUGGUGACUGCCAAUAACGUUUUAUGAUCUAUGCCUUGUGAAUAAGGGAACCUCAAGAGUCUGGUGGCAGUAGACCGGGCAUGUACCCGGAAACUUUAAACCAAGACAACUGGUGCCCACCUGGUUUAUACCAGGUCAAAAACUGAGGUAAGACGGCGUCGUGGGGAACUC
Molecule: non-coding RNA, 185 nt
Filed under: Leptolyngbyaceae cyanobacterium HOT.MB2.61
Lineage: Bacteria; Bacillati; Cyanobacteriota; Cyanophyceae; Leptolyngbyales; Leptolyngbyaceae
Description: 6S RNA
Rfam family: 6S / SsrS RNA
About the family: E. coli 6S RNA was the first non coding RNA to be sequenced, but its function was unknown until recently.
Source: RNAcentral